AGGUUUCCAGAGUAAAGCUGAUCUGCUCUGGGUAAGUCGGGGCCUAAGGCGAGGUCGAAAGACGUAGUCGAUGGAUAACAGGUGGAGAUUCCUGUACUAUGUGUACCCAGAACUGUGGGGACGCAUGUGGAGAGCACGAGCCGGGAAAGAGAAAACCGGUACAAGCGGGGUAGGAGUAAGGACAGCAAAUCUUCCUUACAAUCCGAAGACGUAAUGUGGACCGAACCAAAGUAGGGAAGCGUGUGAGCCAUGUGCCAAGAAAAGCCGCUAUUGUGAUACACAUACCCGUACCGUAAACCGACACAGGUGGAUGAGGAGAGAAUCCUAAGGCCGACGGAAGAAGCAUUGUUAAGGAACUCGGCAAAAUGACCCCGUAACUUCGGGAGAAGGGGUGCUCUUGAAAAAGAGCCGCAGAGAAUUGGCCCAAGCAACUGUUUAGCAAAAACACAGGUCUAUGCAAAACCGAAAGGUGAGGUAUAUGGGCUGACGCCUGCCCGGUGCUGGAAGGUUAAGAGGAGAGGUUAGCGCAAGCGAAGCUUUGAAUUUAAGCCCCAGUAAACGGCGGCCGUAACUAUAACGGUCCUAAGGUAGCGAAAUUCCUUGUCGGGUAAGUUCCGACCCGCACGAAAGGCGUAAUGAUUUGGGCACUGUCUCAACGAUACACCCGGUGAAAUUGAAAUACCAGUGAAGAUGCUGGUUACCUGCGCCAGGACGGAAAGACCCCAUGGAGCUUUACUCUAGCUUGAUACUGGGAUUCGGUAUUGCAUGUACAGGAUAGGUGGGAGACGAAGAGGUGAUGACGCCAGUUGUCACGGAGUCGAUGUUGGGAUACCACCCCUGCAGUACUGGGUUUCUAACCUGCGGCCGUGACCCGGCCGGGGGACAAUGUCUGGUGGGGAGUUUGACUGGGGCGGUCGCCUCCGAAAGAGUAUCGGAGGCGCUCAAAGGUUCCCUCAGAAUGGUUGGAAACCAUUCGAAGAGUGCAAAGGCAGAAGGGAGCUUGACUGCGACACCGACGGGUGGAGCAGGUACGAAAGUAGGACUUAGUGAUCCGGUGGUAUUAAGUGGGAAUGCCAUCGCUCAACGGAUAAAAGCUACCCUGGGGAUAACAGGCUUAUCACUCCCAAGAGUUCACAUCGACGGAGUGGUUUGGCACCUCGAUGUCGGCUCAUCGCAUCCUGGGGCUGAAGUAGGUCCCAAGGGUUGGGCUGUUCGCCCAUUAAAGCGGUACGCGAGCUGGGUUCAGAACGUCGUGAGACAGUUCGGUCCCUAUCCGGCG
RNAcentral lists this ribosomal RNA (1279 nucleotides) under human gut metagenome. RNAcentral describes it as "bacterial LSU rRNA". It matches the Rfam family "Bacterial large subunit ribosomal RNA", at positions 1348 to 2647 of the family's 2925-position model. The record is from RNAcentral.